CAGGUUUAAACGAAUUUCGCCCUUUAGAGUUUGAUCAUGGCUCAGAUUGAACGCUGGCGGUAUGCUUAACACAUGCAAGUCGAACGGUAGCAGGCCUUCGGGCACUGACGAGUGGCGGACGGGUGAGUAACGCGUAGGAAUCUGCCUCAUAGUGGGGGACAACGUGGGGAAACUCACGCUAAUACCGCAUACGCCCUACGGGGGAAAGCGGGGGCUCUUCGGACCUCGCGCUAUGAGAUGAGCCUGCGUUAGAUUAGCUAGUUGGUGGGGUAAAGGCCUACCAAGGCGACGAUCUAUAGCUGGUCUGAGAGGACGAUCAGCCACACUGGGACUGAGACACGGCCCAGACUCCUACGGGAGGCAGCAGUGGGGAAUAUUGGACAAUGGGCGGAAGCCUGAUCCAGCAAUACCGCGUGUGUGAAGAAGGCCUUAGGGUUGUAAAGCACUUUCAAUUGGGAGGAAAACCUACCGGUCAAUACCCGGUAGCUUGACAUUACCUUUAGAAGAAGCACCGGCUAACUCCGUGCCAGCAGCCGCGGUAAUACGGAGGGUGCGAGCGUUAAUCGGAAUUACUGGGCGUAAAGCGUGCGUAGGCGGUUCGUUAAGUCAGAUGUGAAAGCCCUGGGCUCAACCUGGGAACGGCAUUUUGAAACUGGCGGACUAGAGUUUUAGUAUAGGGGAGUGGAUUUUCAGGUGUAGCGGUGAAAUUGCGUAUAUUUCUGAAGGAACACCAUUGGCGAAGGCGACUCCCUGUACUAGAACUGACGCUGAGGUACGAAUGUGUGGUUUAGCAAACAGGAUUAGAUACCCUGUUAGUUCCACGCCGUAUACGAUGUCGACUAGCCGUUGGUUCUAUUUACAGGAUUAGUGGUCGCAGCUAUCGCCUUAAUUCUACUCGCCUGGUGGAGUACGGCCGCAAGUUUAAAACUUCAAAUGAAUUGACGGUGUGCUCGCACAAGCGGUGCAGCAUGGCGCUUAAUUUCGAUGCUACUGCUGGAUGAC
Molecule: ribosomal RNA, 1002 nt
Filed under: uncultured bacterium
Lineage: Bacteria
Description: partial 16S ribosomal RNA
Rfam family: Bacterial small subunit ribosomal RNA
Source: RNAcentral